UUAUAGUCCUAAUGUUAUAUUUUGAAAGGUACAUAAAUUAAGGGUUAAAAUUUGAAAGACACACGAAUUAAGUAUUAAAUUCUGAAAGCCUCUCCCUCGAAUAACAGACUCCCAAACAAACGCCAUAAACCUCGACGAGCUCAGGAGCAGCCUCAGGAGGAGAGGAAGCUACCGGAAUCAUGGAGAACGGCGGCGUCGGCGGCGGAGGCGACGUCCCGGAGAACGGCAACGACCUCGGAGUCGGCAGGGAAGUCGGAGGCGUGCGCCGGGUGCCCGAACCAGCAGAUCUGCGCCUCGGCGCCCAAGGGCCCCGAUCCAGUACUCAGUGGAGCACACGGCCUGCAUCCAGUUGAGAAGGUUCUGUUGGCGAUGGGCAUUGUUAGUUAUCCCUUUCUAUUUUGUGAUUCUCCUGAGCUUGUGGUAUCGAGGAUAUGUGCAGAAGAUUUUACAGUUUAUUAGUUGCUAACUCACCUGGCAGACAAAAAUUCAAGCUUUUGGUGUUUAGAAGCAUGUCUGACUGUGAACAGUGUGAAUCAUGAGAAUGUAUGAUUUGCCUGAAAAAAUCUAGAUUAUUGAAACAAGCAUUUUUAUUUCAUAUUGUAGUUGGAAUAUUUUGUAGACCAUUAUUACAAAGCCCGUUGGUCAGCAUUACAGCGAAAAUGGGGAAUAUAGAUCCGCAGGGGUAGUAUGGGGCACUCUUCCUAGAUACACAAUUCCUAUGAGGCUAUGGAUCCAGCCAUUCUAGGCAAGGGUGGGCGGUAUCCAUAUGUAACCAUGGGUCUGCACAUAUCCAACUCUCGCGCUCAAUUCAUCGGCUUCAUUGGGGCCUCGGCUGCCAGGUUGAUAUGGGAUAGCCUUCAGCUUGCCUGCGUCAAUAUCGUGCAGCAGUGGAGUGAAGAUCUGCCAAGCAGCCUGAAAAUCCAACAGGGACAUGUUAGGGCGAAACGGAAAUGAAAGACUUCUUGAAGAAAAAGGAUUCCCGAUGAGCACACAAAUAUGCAGGGUGGCGCAAACCUUUAGCUCAUCUCGGCGAACAAAGUGCUGUUGGUCUCCUCGUAUUCUGUAGAAGCAUGGAUAUCAAUCAGUGCAAUAAAGAUAAGUAUCAUUUUGUAUAGAACAAGCUUUACAAGGUUAUAUGAUCUCAAGACAUGAUGUUGCAGAAUCAUCUAUGAUUUCGAGAUGAGCGAAUUUCUUUGUAAAGAAGAGAGAUAAAUGUUAAAAUAAUGAAAAUGAUGGCGCAUA
Molecule: RNA transcript, 1242 nt
Organism: Phragmites australis (common reed)
Lineage: Eukaryota; Viridiplantae; Streptophyta; Magnoliopsida; Poales; Poaceae
Gene name: cytosolic Fe-S cluster assembly factor NBP35-like
Exons: 3
Source: RefSeq, a predicted model, not a curated record